Molecule: ribosomal RNA, 503 nt
Filed under: uncultured bacterium
Lineage: Bacteria
Description: partial 16S ribosomal RNA
Rfam family: Bacterial small subunit ribosomal RNA
Source: RNAcentral
AUUGAACGCUGGCGGCAGGCUUAACACAUGCAAGUCGAGCGGGGUGAUGGUGCUUGCACUAUCACUUAGCGGCGGACGGGUGAGUAAUGCUUAGGAAUCUGCCUAUUAGUGGGGGACAGCAUCUCGAAAGGGAUGCUAAUACCGCAUACGUCCUACGGGAGAAAGCAGGGGAUCACUUGUGACCUUGCGCUAAUAGAUGAGCCUAAGUCGGAUUAGCUAGUUGGUGGGGUAAAGGCCUACCAAGGCGACGAUCUGUAGCGGGUCUGAGAGGAUGGUCCGCCACACUGGGACUGAGACACGGCCCAGAAUCCUACGGGAGGCAGCAGUGGGGAAUAUUGGACAAUGGGGGGAACCCUGAUCCAGCCAUGCCGCGUGUGCGAAGAAGGCCUUAUGGUUGUAAAGCACUUUAAGCGAGGAGGAGGCUCUUUUGGUUAAUACCCAAGAUGAGUGGACGUUACUCGCAGAAUAAGCACCGGCUAACUCUGUGCCAGCCGCCGCCGUAA